Molecule: transfer RNA, 72 nt
Filed under: Ovis aries (sheep)
Lineage: Eukaryota; Metazoa; Chordata; Mammalia; Artiodactyla; Bovidae
Rfam family: tRNA
About the family: Transfer RNA (tRNA) molecules are approximately 80 nucleotides in length. Their secondary structure includes four short double-helical elements and three loops (D, anti-codon, and T loops). Further hydrogen bonds mediate the characteristic L-shaped molecular structure. tRNAs have two regions of fundamental functional importance: the anti-codon, which is responsible for specific mRNA codon recognition, and the 3' end, to which the tRNAs corresponding amino acid is attached (by aminoacyl-tRNA synthetases). tRNAs cope with the degeneracy of the genetic code in two manners: having more than one tRNA (with a specific anti-codon) for a particular amino acid; and 'wobble' base-pairing, i.e. permitting non-standard base-pairing at the 3rd anti-codon position.
Source: Rfam by way of RNAcentral
UCCCUAGUGGCUCAAACGGUAAAGAAUCUGCCUGCAAUGUGGAAGACCCAGGUUUGAUUCCUGGAUAGGGAA